UGGCGACAAAAUCGGAAGCAGGUCGCUGUGUAGAUGAAACGUUUUUUCUUGGCGUUUAUUAUUCACUUAAUACGGAAAAACACAUGUUCAUCAUUUGAAUCACAAACAGGUACAUGAAGGGGCGUAAUUUAAGGAGGAGACUCCUAGGCUAGGCGACGACACAGGAUCUGACACACUCACAUCAAAACACACAUACACAGAAUAAGUUAAGACACGAUAUAUUUUUGUUUCUCACUUCUGGACACCAGUUUUGACUCAACUAAAAUGUCUCUGGAAACAUUUGUUCUUGGAUCUUUACUACACAGCGUGGCAGCUGAAUCUGGCGAUGAUAACAAUGCAGGAGGCAUCUACCUUGCCACAAUAUUGGUGGUCCUUUUGGUAAUAGGAGUGAUCCUCUUCUUGGUCAGACGUUCUUCUUCAGAUUACAACUACAAAGGGGUGUCCAGUGCUAAAUAUGGGAUGAAGAAAAACCAGUCCGACUAGUGAUGUUCAGAUUUACGGUCACGGUUGUUGUGCAUUAAUUACAUUUGUGUUCAAAUAUAUUAGAGAAAACAUUA
Molecule: long non-coding RNA, 557 nt
Organism: Biomphalaria glabrata
Lineage: Eukaryota; Metazoa; Mollusca; Gastropoda; Planorbidae
Exons: 4
Source: RefSeq, a predicted model, not a curated record